UGCUAGGAGGCUGGAGAGG
Molecule: unclassified non-coding RNA, 19 nt
Filed under: Mus musculus (house mouse)
Lineage: Eukaryota; Metazoa; Chordata; Mammalia; Rodentia; Muridae
Description: oocyte_clustered_small_RNA6213
Source: RNAcentral